RNAcentral lists this ribosomal RNA (253 nucleotides) under uncultured bacterium. Its description in RNAcentral is "partial 16S ribosomal RNA". It matches the Rfam family "Bacterial small subunit ribosomal RNA", at positions 524 to 776 of the family's 1533-position model. The record is from RNAcentral.
UACGGAGGGUGCAAGCGUUAUCCGGAUUCACUGGGUUUAAAGGGUGCGUAGGUGGGUCUGUAAGUCAGUGGUGAAAUCUCCGAGCUUAACUCGGAAACUGCCAUUGAUACUAUAGGUCUUGAAUUAUCUGGAGGUAAGCGGAAUAUGUCAUGUAGCGGUGAAAUGCUUAGAUGUGACAUAGAACACCAAUUGCGAAGGCAGCUUACUACGGAUCGAUUGACACUGAGGCACGAAAGCGUGGGGAUCAAACAGG